GACGAAGCUUCCAAAGAGAACCGGAAGCGAAAAAGAGAGAUCUCUCGGAAAGUACGGGAGAUGAAGCGAUCUGAACUGCUCCAGACCCCCGGGCAUGAAGCUGAGGAGAUGAAAGGGGGUUCUUCUCAACCUUCAGUGCAGCCGAUCCCUGAUGUUGAAGCGAUCCGGUCUCCUCCUCACCAAGAAGAGCCGCCUCCACCUCCCCCAGCUGUUCAGAGCACCGAAGGUGGUCCUUCUCAGCCUCCUGCGAGGCCUCUUUCCCGAGGCGCCCAUGUCCUAUUCACUUCACUGGAGAAGAACUGGACGGUUCGAGAAAAUCCAGGCUUCGCUAAGGUCCUGGGGUCAUCCAUCUGCCUUCCGGAAGACCGGGACAGGCUGUCUCCGAACACUCUUGAUGACAUCCUGACCAGAUCCAUGAGCCUGAACGUGGAGU
RNAcentral lists this unclassified non-coding RNA (433 nucleotides) under Hevea brasiliensis (rubber tree). Lineage: Eukaryota; Viridiplantae; Streptophyta; Magnoliopsida; Malpighiales; Euphorbiaceae. The record is from RNAcentral.